This 482-nucleotide ribosomal RNA is filed under the name uncultured bacterium. RNAcentral describes it as "partial 16S ribosomal RNA". It matches the Rfam family "Bacterial small subunit ribosomal RNA", at positions 28 to 523 of the family's 1533-position model. The record is from RNAcentral.
GACGAACGCUGGCGGCGUGCUUAACACAUGCAAGUCGAACGAUGAAGCCCAGCUUGCUGGGUGGAUUAGUGGCGAACGGGUGAGUAACACGUGGGCAACCUGCCCCAAACUCUGGGAUAACUCCUCGAAAGAGGUGCUAAUACCGGAUACGAACUAGGUAGACAACUGCACUAGUUGGAAAGUUUUUCGGUUUGGGAUGGGCCCGCGGCCUAUCAGCUUGUUGGUGAGGUAACGGCUCACCAAGGCUACGACGGGUAACCGGCCUGAGAGGGCGACCGGUCACACUGGGACUGAGACACGGCCCAGACUCCUACGGGAGGCAGCAGUGGGGAAUAUUGCGCAAUGGGCGAAAGCCUGACGCAGCGACGCCGCGUGAGGGAUGAAGGUCUUCGGAUCGUAAACCUCUUUCAGUAGGGACGAAGCGAAAGUGACGGUACCUAAAGAAGAAGCACCGGCUAACUACGUGCCAGCAGCCGCCGCGG